Molecule: ribosomal RNA, 250 nt
Filed under: uncultured bacterium
Lineage: Bacteria
Description: partial 16S ribosomal RNA
Rfam family: Bacterial small subunit ribosomal RNA
Source: RNAcentral
UACGUAGGGUGCGAGCGUUAAUCGGAAUUACUGGGCGUAAAGCGUGCGCAGGCGGUUUUGUAAGACAGGCGUGAAAUCCCCGGGCUUAACCUGGGAAUUGCGCUUGUGACUGCAAGGCUAGAGUGCGUCAGAGGGGGGUAGAAUUCCACGUGUAGCAGUGAAAUGCGUAGAGAUGUGGAGGAAUACCGAUGGCGAAGGCAGCCCCCUGGGACGUGACUGACGCUCAUGCACGAAAGCGUGGGGAGCAAAC